RNAcentral lists this ribosomal RNA (402 nucleotides) under uncultured bacterium. RNAcentral's name for it is "bacterial SSU rRNA". It matches the Rfam family "Bacterial small subunit ribosomal RNA", at positions 355 to 774 of the family's 1533-position model. The record is from RNAcentral.
UGGGGAAUCUUGCACAAUGGGGGCAACCCUGAUGCAGCGACGCCGCGUGAGCGAUGAAGCCCUUCGGGGCGUAAAGCUCUUUCGACCGGAACGAUAAUGACGGUACCGGGAGAAGAAGCUGCGGCUAACUACGUGCCAGCAGCCGCGGUAAUACGUAGGCAGCAAGCGUUGUUCGGAGUUACUGGGCGUAAAGAGUGCGUAGGCGGUUUUCUAAGUUCGGUGUGAAAUCUCCCGGCUUAACUGGGAGGGUGCGCCGAAGACUGGGAAGCUGGAGUGUGGGAAAGGCAGGCGGAAUUCCUGUUGUAGCGGUGAAAUGCGUAGAUACCGGGAGGAACACCGGCGGUGUAGACGGCUUGCUAGACCAUAACUGACGCUGAGGCACGAAAGCGUGGGUAGCAAACA